This 1609-nucleotide long non-coding RNA is filed under the name Salmo salar (Atlantic salmon). RNAcentral describes it as "lncRNA (ENSSSAG00000090751.1)". The record is from RNAcentral. Lineage: Eukaryota; Metazoa; Chordata; Actinopteri; Salmoniformes; Salmonidae.
GCACCCUAUUACCCUAUAUCCUGCACUUCUUUAGGGCCCCGGAUCAAAUGUAGUGGUCUAUAUAGGGAAUAGGGUGCCAUAGGGCCCUGGUCAAAUGUAGUGCUCUAUAUAGGGAAUAGGGUGCCAUAGGGCCCUGGUCAAAUGUAGUGCACUAUAUAGGGAAUAGGGUGCCAUAGGGCCCUGGUCAAAUGUAGUGGUCUAUAUAGGGAAUAGGGUGCCAUAGGGCCCUGGUCAAAUGUAGUGCUCUAUAUAGGGAAUAGGGUGCCAUAGGGCCCUGGUCUAAAGUAGUGGUCUAUAUAGGGAAUAGGGUGCCAUAGGGCCCUGGUCUAAAGUAGUGGUCUAUAUAGGGAAUAGGGUGCCAUAGGGCCCUGGUCUAAAGUAGUGGUCUAUAUAGGGAAUAGCAGAACAGCAACUUGUUUUAACCGUCUAACCAACAUCUUCCAUCACAAGUGUUAAACCCCACUUCCCUUCUCUACAUCAGAGUCCGAUGCUGGUAGACCAGAGAAUCUAGCUACCCCACUUCCCUUCUCUACAUCAGAGACCGAUGCUGGUAGACCAGAGAAUCUAGCUACCCCACUUCCCUUCUCUACCAUCAGAGACCGAUGCUGGUAGACCAGAGAAUCUAGCUACCCCACUUCCCUUCUCUACAUCAGAGACCGAUGCUGGUAGACCAGAGAAUCUAGCUACCCCACUUCCCUUCUCUACCAUCAGAGACCGAUGCUGGUAGACCAGAGAAUCUAGCUACCCCACUUCCCUUCUCUACAUCAGAGACCGAUGCUGGUAGACCAGAGAAUCUAGCUACCCCACUUCCCUUCUCUACCAUCAGAGACCGAUGCUGGUAGACCAGAGAACAGAAGACCUCUGUUAUCAAUGUAACAUCCCAGGACAGGCUGACCCAGACAUGUGUACAUCAGGAAGCUCUGACAUCAUAUCCUCCCUCCUCUACAUCAGGAAGCUCUGACAUCAUAUCCUCCCUCUCUACAUCAGGAAGCUCUGACAUCAUAUCCUCCCUCCUCUACAUCAGGAAGCUCUGACAUCAUAUCCUCCCUCCUCUACAUCAGGAAGCUCUGACAUCAUAUCCUCCCUCUUGUUGCUCCGUUAUAUCCUGAUAUAGGAACUGCAGCACCAACCUUAUUCACGACGUCGCUCCGCUCAAAACGUCCAGACCACACAAACACAUUCCUCAUCCUAUCCAUUUGAACUGUGUGUAUCAUGUUGUCUGUACCGGGUCACUAUGAGCAGAACUGUAAAGUGCACUUGGAGAAUGACAACAUUUAAAACCAGACAGGAGACAGACCAGGACAGGGGACAGACGGGAGACUGUCUCAGCUAGGGACAGACGGGAGACUGUCUCAGCUAGGGACAGACAGGAGACUGUCUCAGCUAGAGACAGACAGGGGACAGACCAGGACAGGGGACAGACGGGAGACUGUCUCAGCUAGGGACAGACAGGAGACUGUCUCAGCUAGGGACAGACGGGAGACUGUCUCAGCUAGGGACAGACAGGAGACUGUCUCAGCUAGAGACAGACAGGGGACAGACCAGGACAGGGGACAGACGGGAGACUGUCUCAGCUAGGGACAGACAGGAGACUGUCUCAGCUAGGGAC